GCUAAAUAUUUAUCUAUGUUACUUACAUUUAAUCUGUAUAGCUAUAUAAUCUAUAUAGCUAAAUAUUUAUCUAUGUUACUUACAUUUAUAUCUACAUAAGAUUUAGAAAUAUAUACGAAUCAGAUCCACUAACCGGUAAAUAUUUAUUAAGAUAUUAGAUUUACUUAAUGCAAUCAUCAAUAUAUUGUACUUAUUACGAAUCCUCCUUAUUGCCAUCGAUAACAUAUUUGUCUUUUUAAACAUGUCUGUUUUCAAAUUACACAACGUACAAAGUUUAUCUGCUGUACCAUGCAAAAUUCUUUUUUCCGAUGAACACAAAAGUUUUAUUGCAUAUUUUGCCCAAUAUCCAGCAGUCAGAUUUGAUGCGAAUUUUUUCCCACGAGAUUUCUCAUACAUUAAAAAUAUCUGAUUUUACUUUGACAAGGGCAAAUUAAUUAAUUAAUAAUUUUAUUCAUAAGAUAGCCUUGUUGAAGAUAAGGAAUGUCCUGCUCAAGAUAAAUAAUCAAAAUAUUUUGUAUACAUAUUUGUAUGUUUGUAUGUUUGACUGCUUAUAUUGUUUGCUUUAGAAGCAAGCAAGAUUUGAAAGUAUACACAAAUCGGAUCCAUUACCACUUACUUAUUAAGUGUUAACCGUUGAACACAGUCAAUAAGAUUUUGUAUUCAUAUGAGAAAUCCUCAGUAUCAUCGAUAAUCAACGCGUUUCUUUUUAAAAAUGUCUGCUAUCGAAAACAUAAGCGAGCCAGAGAGCCAACUCGAUAAAGAUAAAACUGGGAUAAAGGAAUCUGGUAAUGAAUCCGUUACGAUAGAGGAUCAAGUUGAAGAGAAUAUCGAGAGUAGUGCAAAUAGCGAGGACCUAACAAACGUCAGUGCAGAACUUAUUCAAAUUUUAGAAUCAUCGCGCAGUAUUAUGAAGACGGGUUUUUCACAAGAAGGACACCUUUCUAAAAAACAGAAUAAAAUAAUUAAAGUGAUAAAAUCGAAGAUGGACAAAUUAUACCGUGAUAUAAUCAAACCAGGAAACCAGGCACAUACCAAAAAUUCAGUAUUUCUUGCACAAGCUUAUUUAUAUCUGGCUCGUACAUAUGCCGAUAGCGGAGAUUAUUCACAAUUAGAGAUUGUCGAUUUCUACAUUAAUAGAUGUUUGAACCUUUUAAAAAAUAAGGAAAAAGAACGCAAAGUCAUUUUGAUAGCUGUAGAAACGCAUCACUUUUUAGGUUCUCUGUAUUGUAAGUGGAAUAAGCACGAACAAUCUCUGAUAGCUUUUGAAAAGGCAUUACAACUAUAUUUGACAUACAACGAUGCAGAUGAGUAUUUAGCUCCUAUUAAUAUAUUAUCAUCUUUUAAAUCUGACCAAUCAUCAGAUACUGAAUUUUUAUUAGAGGAACAAUGUACAGUAGUUUUGGCAAAUUUAUUAGCAGCAAAGAUAGAUGACGAAGACAAAACCAAGCAGAUGAUAGUCGAUAAAGUAGCUAUAUACAAAUAUAAGUUAUUAAAAAGGAUAGUAAAUAAGACAUUACGAAAUGAAGACUAUAUUAAUUGGGCUUCACAAUCAGUGUUCUUAGCCGAGAUUUUCGUAAAAUAUGAAAGAUUUACCGCAGCUAAAGAUCAUCUUACUGCGGCUUCCUUUAUAAUGCACAAAUACGAUAUGGAAAAACCUGUAGAAACGGAUGAAGAAACACAUUUGAUUAAGGAGGAUUGUAUAUGUUAUGGGUAUAAAAAAAUUAUAUUUGAUAUUAAUCGGCAGUGGGGGAAAUACGGGCUCAAACUUUUGCAAUCAUCACAAGAAAAAUUAUUGCAAGAAAAUGUAAAAAAUGAGACUUGUAAGGUUCAUUGUCAGUCCCAAUCAACUGCAAACUCUGAACAAUCUAUUGAGUCAGAAUUUGUUGAUAUAAUACCAAAGUUAAGAGUAUUCGUCGUUAAGAUCACAGAUAGGUAUCUUUCAUCUUAUAUUGAUGCUAAAGUAGUUUUUACAACUGUUUUGCAACAUUUUAAUAAAGCGUUAGUAUAUAUUACUCCUGAACUACAUUUACUAGAAUAUGUAAAUAUUAUGCAAGGCAUUUCUGACGCGUAUAAAUAUUUAGCAAGCUAUGAACAAAAUGAAGAUAAUCAAUUAAAACUGCAUAAACGGCGACUAAAAGUUUUAACAGAUAUUAUAAGUUAUUUGGAUAUAGAAAAUGAUAUACAGAUUCUCAAACCGAUUUGGAUUGAAAUAGCAAUUACUAACUCUAAUAUAUUAGAUAAAAUUACUGGAAAUUUCCGAUAUCAAUGUGAUAAUAAAUUUAAUAAUAAAUCAAAUGCUGAAAUAAUUCGUGAAUCAGAUAACUUUAUAAAGAAUAUUAUGUGUUGUUGGGAAUCAUAUAUCAAUAGUUUUUCGUAGAUUAUUUAUUAACUGAUGGAUGUGUGUAUAUGAUUUGAUUAACAAAUUAUGUUCUUUUUAUCUGCACAUGGCAAACACGUAUACAAAAUAUUUAUUAGUUAUGUUAAAAACAGAAAAUACUUAAUCUCCCUCUUCAAUGAUUAUAAUAAAAUUAUUCCUAAGAGAAAGAAUUCCUACAGAAAAAUUGUAAUUUUUACACGUAUUUGCAAAUAUUUGAUGGAUUUAACAUAGUGUGAUAAAUUAAUUAUUAUAUCGUAUUGUUUUAAUAAGAUAUAUAUUUUUUAUAAACAUUUUAUAUUUUUACUUGAAAAUUAAAUAAUAUAAUAAAUAUUUCGUUAUUAUUGUCAAAACUGUUGUCGUUAUUAAUUGAAUUUCCAUACGAAAAAAAGGGACGGGAAAGGGAUAUUCUUGAAAAUAUAUAAUUUAGACUUUCCUAAAAUAAAAAUGGUUGACAAUUUUACUUAUGAGUCAGGUAAAAAUAAAGAACGUUUCAAUAAGAAUAAAUAAAUACAAAAUCUUGUGUAUACAAGCAAAUAUGGAAAUUCGUGCGUUACAUCUCUAAGGUCAAUUCAAACAAACUCGUAUAUCGUAUAUCGCCGCACACUCAUGCAUGUACGGAAAAAUUAUCCAAUGAUAAUGUCUAAUUCAAGGAACAUACCAACAUAAGAUCGUUUAUAUUAAAAGUAAUUGGUCGAUUUCUCUCUAUAUUAUGUGAUAUCACGUGUUUAUAUAAAUUUGUCAGAAUAGAUAUUUACAAUAGUUCAUAUGGAAUAAUCCUUCAUAUUGAUAUCGAUUAUAUUAGUGUACUCGAUUCUAGAGAUGUCUGGCAUAAGAAAAAUGCAAUGGCUUCAUAUACAAACUGUAUGCAGUGUAACAAAACAGCAGGACGAGACAAUAGAGAAUAUCAAGAGUACGAUGAGCGUUACCAAGAAAUUUAUUAAAAUUUUAAAAUCGUCGUUUGGAGUAAUGAACAACGCGAGUCAAAUUACUGAAGAGCAAACACAAAAUAUUGCUAUAGAAGUAAAGAUGGAUAGAUUGUUUCGUGAAGUAAUCGAUUUGAAAGACUCAAAAUUCGACGAUUGUGUAACUCUCGCAUUAUCUUAUCUUUAUAUGUCCUAUAUAUAUAUUGACAACAAAGAUAACAUACAUAUUAGUAAAAAAUAUCUUACGAAAUCUUUAGAAUUGCUAAAGGAGAAAGAACUAGAUUGCAAAGCUAUUUUAAUAGUUAUGAGGAUAUACAAUGAAUUGAGUUAUAUUGAAAAAAUAAUGGAAAAUUUUAUAGAAGCUGAAUCAUAUUUAAAUCAGGCAUUGCAGCUAUAUUGCAUGUUCACAAAAGAAAAGGAUGAUUAUCCUAUUCCCAUUGAUGUUGCAAGUAUUCUUAAUAUAGAAGAGAACGAAAAUUGUAAGUGUUUACUAGAGUGUACAUAUUAUGUAACUUUGGAGGGCUUAUUGGAAAUAGAUAAUAUAAUAUCUUUGUAUUCUGAGCGUACAGAUAUACCUAAAGCUGCAAUAUAUAUGCAUAAACAAUUGGAAAGAAAAUUAAAUGCGAGUAACAUUGAUUAUAUAAUGUGGGCUAUAAGUUCAGCUGAAUUAUCUACAUGUUUUAUAAAGUACGGUCGUUUUACAGAAGCUAGAAAUCAUCUCAGUGCUGCAAGUUUUAUGAUGCAGCAAUAUUUCAUAAAUAUGUUUUAUAAAGUUGAGAAAAGUGAUAUUGAGGAAAUAACAGAAAAUUUAUCAAAACGUAAAUAUAGACUCGCAAAUUUCAUAAUUGCUAGCUAUUGGGCAAAAUAUGGACUUGCUCUUUUGAAUUCAUCAAGAGAAAAAACAAUAAUUCGAAAUACAGAAGAUAAACUUUGUCAGGCGAAUAUUUCGCAAUCAAGUGAAUCAGAAUGUCCUAUGAAAUCUGAGAGACAACCCAACGACUUACUUAUAUUUUUCGAUAUAGAAAAAGAUCUAGAAGAUUUCGUUCCAAUCACGGAUAAGUGUCCUUUAGAUUAUAAAGAAGCCAAACAAGUUUUUGUGAGUGUUUUGAAGUGGUUAAAUGACAUAAAAGAAUAUAAAACAAACAAUACCACAAACGAUAUUAUAAGUAAUAAAUUAGAAAACCAAUAUUCAGUUGAAAUAAACAUUUCCAUGGCAUAUAAAUAUUUAGCAUAUUAUGAGCAAGAUAAGAGCAACAAGAUAAAACUACAUAAACGACAAAUAGACGUUAUAGAGAAAGCUAUAGAAACAUUAAAACCAACAAUUGGGACAGAAAUCUACAAAAAGUUUUCUGUUGAACUAAUAUAUAGUUAUACAACUAUUGUGGAUAUGAUGACUGAACAUUUACGCGCAGAUAAACCUGGAUUAUCAGAAAAAGAGUUAUUGGAAAUUAAACAAUUGCUAAUACGUUGCUUAACGAGUCUCAAAUUAUAUUUAAGCUCUCCCGAGAAUGACAAUGUAUGAUUUAUCAUUGACAAAUUUCAUGUAACAGAGACAUGUACUAUAAUGCUACAAAUAUGAAAUUUAAUGUGAGCGUUAAUAUCUAUAUAAGUGAAAAGAAACAUUUAUGCAAAAAAAUUAAAGUUUAUAGUUUGUUUAAACGAAUAUAUUCAGUAGAUUAAUAUAAUACGAUAAAAAUGGUCAUAUUUUAAUAAUGUGUACUAUACUAUUAAAUUAAUACUAUUAAUAAUAUGCACUUUAUACUAUUAAACAUUUUUUAUUUUUGCUUGAAGAUAAAAUUUG
This is an RNA transcript of Odontomachus brunneus, 5101 nucleotides long. RefSeq lists it as uncharacterized. NCBI's taxonomy places the organism in Eukaryota, Metazoa, Arthropoda, Insecta, Hymenoptera, Formicidae. The record is from RefSeq and is a predicted model, not a curated record. The transcript has 3 exons.